Molecule: non-coding RNA, 358 nt
Organism: Vicia faba (fava bean)
Lineage: Eukaryota; Viridiplantae; Streptophyta; Magnoliopsida; Fabales; Fabaceae
Source: the annotation of a GenBank genome assembly
AUAUGUUAGAAAUACAAUAUCUUCAUAUACAUACUAUACAUACUAUAUUAUAAUAACAUAUCUCUUUCUCACACACACAAAACCAUUCAUACUCUCAAACAUAUAUACAAACACAUUGCUCCUCCAGCUUUUGCCUUUGCCUCCUUCCUUCCUUCACAGCCUGUCAAAACCUAAAUUAUUAACUCAACAACAACAUCAUUAUUCCAUUUUUCUAAUUCUUCUUGUUUCAAACCAAAAACCUUAUUUCAACUGCCAAGUGUCUUCAUGCUGUCUAUAUGACUUUUCUCCAAACUCUCCAGAUGUUCAUGCACUGCUUGGAUUCAUCCGUCCUUUAAUCUAUUCUUUUCUCCAACCAUGA